RNAcentral lists this ribosomal RNA (791 nucleotides) under uncultured archaeon. RNAcentral's name for it is "bacterial SSU rRNA". It matches the Rfam family "Archaeal small subunit ribosomal RNA", at positions 85 to 879 of the family's 1478-position model. The record is from RNAcentral.
ACUGCUCAGUAACACGUGGAUGACAUGCCCUAAGGUGGGGGAUAAUCUCGGGAAACUGAGGAUAAUACCCCAUAGGUCUAGAAUGCUGGAAUGCUUCUAGGCUCAAAACUCCGGUGCCUUAGGAUUGGUCUGCGGUCUAUCAGGCAGUAGUGGGUGUAACGGACCCACUAGCCCGUGACGGAUAUGGGCCUUGAGAGAGGGUGCCCAGAGAUGGACUCUGAGACAUGAGUCCAGGCCCUACGGGGCGCAGCAGUCGCGAAAACUUCGCAAUGGGGGAAACCCCGACGAGGGAAUUCCAAGUGCUAGCACUUUGUGUUAGCUGUUCUUCUGUCUAAAAAACAGGAGAAGUAAGGGGCGGGUAAGACGGGUGCCAGCCGCCGCGGUAAUACCCGCGCCCCGAGUGGUGGUCGAUAUUAUUGAGCCUAAAACGUCCGUAGCCGGUCUUCUAAAUCCUUGGGUAAAUCGGGCAGCUUAACUGUCCGAAUUCCGGGGAGACUGGGAGACUUGGGACCGGGAGAGGUCAGAGGUACUUCUGGGGUAGGGGUAAAAUCCUGUAAUCCUGGAAGGACCACCGGUGGCGAAGGCGUCUGACUAGAACGGAUCCGACGGUGAGGGACGAAGCCCUGGGGCGCAAACGGGAUUAGAUACCCCGGUAGUCCAGGGUGUAACCGCUGCGGGCUUGGUGUUGGGGGUCCUUAGUGGGCGCCCAGUGCCGGAGAGAAGUUGUUAAGCCUGCUGCUUGGGGAGUAUGUCCGCAAGGAUGAAACUUAAAGGAAUUGGCGGGGGAGCAC